CAGUCGCCGCGGGAAUACGUAGGGUGCAAGCGUUAAUCGGAAUUACUGGGCGUAAAGCGUGCGCAGGCGGUUAUAUAAGACAGAUGUGAAAUCCCCGGGCUCAACCUGGGAACUGCAUUUGUGACUGUAUAGCUAGAGUACGGCAGAGGGGGAUGGAAUUCCGCGUGUAGCAGUGAAAUGCGUAGAUAUGCGGAGGAACACCAAUGGCGAAGGCAAUCCCCUGGGCCUGUACUGACGCUCAUGCACGAAAGCGUGGGGAGCAAACAGGAUUAGAUACCCCAGUAGUCCCUGUCUCUUAUAU
RNAcentral lists this ribosomal RNA (301 nucleotides) under uncultured bacterium. RNAcentral describes it as "partial 16S ribosomal RNA". It matches the Rfam family "Bacterial small subunit ribosomal RNA", at positions 509 to 809 of the family's 1533-position model. The record is from RNAcentral.